Molecule: ribosomal RNA, 3020 nt
Filed under: Salmonella enterica subsp. enterica serovar Typhimurium str. D23580
Lineage: Bacteria; Pseudomonadati; Pseudomonadota; Gammaproteobacteria; Enterobacterales; Enterobacteriaceae
Description: bacterial LSU rRNA
Rfam family: Bacterial large subunit ribosomal RNA
Source: RNAcentral
GGUUAAGCGACUAAGCGUACACGGUGGAUGCCCUGGCAGUCAGAGGCGAUGAAGGGCGUGCUAAUCUGCGAUAAGCGCCGGUAAGGUGAUAUGAACCGUUAUAACCGGCGAUACCCGAAUGGGGAAACCCAGUGUGACUCGUCACACUAUCAUUAACUGAAUCCAUAGGUUAAUGAGGCGAACCGGGGGAACUGAAACAUCUAAGUACCCCGAGGAAAAGAAAUCAACCGAGAUUCCCCCAGUAGCGGCGAGCGAACGGGGAGGAGCCCAGAGCCUGAAUCAGCAUGUGUGUUAGUGGAAGCGUCUGGAAAGGCGCGCGAUACAGGGUGACAGCCCCGUACACAAAAGCGCAUGUGCUGUGAGCUCGAUGAGUAGGGCGGGACACGUGGUAUCCUGUCUGAAUAUGGGGGGACCAUCCUCCAAGGCUAAAUACUCCUGACUGACCGAUAGUGAACCAGUACCGUGAGGGAAAGGCGAAAAGAACCCCGGCGAGGGGAGUGAAAAAGAACCUGAAACCGUGUACGUACAAGCAGUGGGAGCCCCACCACCAAAGCAUUCUCUGGUGUUGAAGGCCCUGCAAAGCAGCAUCGCGGUGGCGGAGCGUCGUUUGCGACGCCCAACACACAAAACAAGCGGUGAAUGCUUUGGGGUGGGGUGACUGCGUACCUUUUGUAUAAUGGGUCAGCGACUUAUAUUCUGUAGCAAGGUUAACCGAAUAGGGGAGCCGGAGGGAAACCGAGUCUUAAUUGGGCGUUAAGUUGCAGGGUAUAGACCCGAAACCCGGUGAUCUAGCCAUGGGCAGGUUGAAGGUUGGGUAACACUAACUGGAGGACCGAACCGACUAAUGUUGAAAAAUUAGCGGAUGACCUGUGGCUGGGGGUGAAAGGCCAAUCAAACCGGGAGAUAGCUGGUUCUCCCCGAAAGCUAUUUAGGUAGCGCCUCGUGAAUUCAUCUCCGGGGGUAGAGCACUGUUUCGGCUAGGGGGCCAUCCCGGCUUACCAACCCGAUGCAAACUGCGAAUACCGGAGAAUGUUAUCACGGGAGACACACGGCGGGUGCUAACGUCCGUCGUGAAGAGGGAAACAACCCAGACCGCCAGCUAAGGUCCCAAAGUCAUGGUUAAGUGGGAAACGAUGUGGGAAGGCCCAGACAGCCAGGAUGUUGGCUUAGAAGCAGCCAUCAUUUAAAGAAAGCGUAAUAGCUCACUGGUCGAGUCGGCCUGCGCGGAAGAUGUAACGGGGCUAAACCAUGCACCGAAGCUGCGGCAGCGACGCUGAUGCGUUGUUGGGUAGGGGAGCGUUCUGUAAGCCUGCGAAGGUGACCUGUGAGGGUUGCUGGAGGUAUCAGAAGUGCGAAUGCUGACAUAAGUAACGAUAAAGCGGGUGAAAAGCCCGCUCGCCGGAAGACCAAGGGUUCCUGUCCAACGUUAAUCGGGGCAGGGUGAGUCGACCCCUAAGGCGAGGCCGAAAGGCGUAGUCGAUGGGAAACGGGUUAAUAUUCCCGUACUUGGUGUUACUGCGAAGGGGGGACGGAGAAGGCUAUGUUGGCCGGGCGACGGUUGUCCCGGUUUAAGCGUGUAGGUGUGUGUUCCAGGUAAAUCCGGUUCACUUUAACACUGAGGCGUGAUGACGAGGCACUACGGUGCUGAAGCAACAAAUGCCCUGCUUCCAGGAAAAGCCUCUAAGCAUCAGGUAACAUCAAAUCGUACCCCAAACCGACACAGGUGGUCAGGUAGAGAAUACCAAGGCGCUUGAGAGAACUCGGGUGAAGGAACUAGGCAAAAUGGUGCCGUAACUUCGGGAGAAGGCACGCUGACACGUAGGUGAAGUGAUUUACUCACGGAGCUGAAGUCAGUCGAAGAUACCAGCUGGCUGCAACUGUUUAUUAAAAACACAGCACUGUGCAAACACGAAAGUGGACGUAUACGGUGUGACGCCUGCCCGGUGCCGGAAGGUUAAUUGAUGGGGUCAGCGCAAGCGAAGCUCCUGAUCGAAGCCCCGGUAAACGGCGGCCGUAACUAUAACGGUCCUAAGGUAGCGAAAUUCCUUGUCGGGUAAGUUCCGACCUGCACGAAUGGCGUAAUGAUGGCCAGGCUGUCUCCACCCGAGACUCAGUGAAAUUGAACUCGCUGUGAAGAUGCAGUGUACCCGCGGCAAGACGGAAAGACCCCGUGAACCUUUACUAUAGCUUGACACUGAACAUUGAGCCUUGAUGUGUAGGAUAGGUGGGAGGCUUUGAAGUGUGGACGCCAGUCUGCAUGGAGCCGACCUUGAAAUACCACCCUUUAAUGUUUGAUGUUCUAACGUGGACCCGUAAUCCGGGUUGCGGACAGUGUCUGGUGGGUAGUUUGACUGGGGCGGUCUCCUCCUAAAGAGUAACGGAGGAGCACGAAGGUUGGCUAAUCCUGGUCGGACAUCAGGAGGUUAGUGCAAUGGCAUAAGCCAGCUUGACUGCGAGCGUGACGGCGCGAGCAGGUGCGAAAGCAGGUCAUAGUGAUCCGGUGGUUCUGAAUGGAAGGGCCAUCGCUCAACGGAUAAAAGGUACUCCGGGGAUAACAGGCUGAUACCGCCCAAGAGUUCAUAUCGACGGCGGUGUUUGGCACCUCGAUGUCGGCUCAUCACAUCCUGGGGCUGAAGUAGGUCCCAAGGGUAUGGCUGUUCGCCAUUUAAAGUGGUACGCGAGCUGGGUUUAGAACGUCGUGAGACAGUUCGGUCCCUAUCUGCCGUGGGCGCUGGAGAACUGAGGGGGGCUGCUCCUAGUACGAGAGGACCGGAGUGGACGCAUCACUGGUGUUCGGGUUGUCAUGCCAAUGGCACUGCCCGGUAGCUAAAUGCGGAAGAGAUAAGUGCUGAAAGCAUCUAAGCACGAAACUUGCCCCGAGAUGAGUUCUCCCUGAGACUUUAGGUCUCCUGAAGGAACGUUGAAGACGACGACGUUGAUAGGCCGGGUGUGUAAGCGCAGCGAUGCGUUGAGCUAACCGGUACUAAUGAACCGUGAGGCUUAACCUUACAACGCCGAAG